This 253-nucleotide ribosomal RNA is filed under the name uncultured bacterium. RNAcentral describes it as "partial 16S ribosomal RNA". It matches the Rfam family "Bacterial small subunit ribosomal RNA", at positions 524 to 776 of the family's 1533-position model. The record is from RNAcentral.
UACGGGGGGAGCAAGCGUUGUUCGGAUUUAUUGGGCGUAAAGGGCGCGUAGGCGGCGUGACAAGUCACUUGUGAAAUCUCCGGGCUUAACCCGGAGCGGUCAAGUGAUACUGUCGUGCUAGAGUGCGGAAGGGGCUACUGGAAUUCUCGGUGUAGCGGUGAAAUGCGUAGAUAUCGAGAGGAACACCUGCGGCGAAGGCGGGUAGCUGGGCCGACACUGACGCUGAUGCGCGAAAGCCAGGGGAGCGAACGGG